GAUGAACGCUGGCGGCGUGCCUAAUACAUGCAAGUCGAGCGAAGCGGGGACGGGUGAGUAACACGUGGAUAACCUCCUAUAAGACUGGGAUAACUUCGGGAAACCGGAGCUAAAACGGAUACGUAUAGAUGGAUCCGCGCUGCAUUAGCUAGUUGGUAAGGUAACGGCUUACCAAGGCAACGAUGCAUAGCCGACCUGAGAGGUUUCUCGGCCACACUGGACCUGCGACACGGUCCAGACUCCUACGGGAGGCAGCAGUAGGGAAUCUUCCGCAAUGGGCGAAAGCCUGACGGAGCAACGCCGCGUGAUUUAUGAAGGUCUUCGGAUCGUAAAACUCUGUUAUUAGGGGAGCGGUACCUAGUCAGAAAGCCACGGCUAACUUCGUGCCAGCAGCCGCGGUAAUUC
Molecule: ribosomal RNA, 405 nt
Filed under: uncultured bacterium
Lineage: Bacteria
Description: partial 16S ribosomal RNA
Rfam family: Bacterial small subunit ribosomal RNA
Source: RNAcentral